Molecule: long non-coding RNA, 483 nt
Filed under: Salvia miltiorrhiza (redroot sage)
Lineage: Eukaryota; Viridiplantae; Streptophyta; Magnoliopsida; Lamiales; Lamiaceae
Description: long non-coding RNA (SMIL_LNC005044)
Source: RNAcentral
UUAAACUAAAUACUUACAAUAAUUUGUGCUUUAAUCUCUCGAAGUGACAAGAGGGGCUUAGUUUCGUCCGAUUCGUUCUUGAGGUUAAUCAGAAGAUCAAGAAUAUCAUCUUGUUGAGUCUUGAGCCCUAGCUGCCACAUCUCCAUUCUCUCAUUGAUCAACGGAUCUUGGUAUUUCCUUACCUUUAAAAAAAAUAUAUAUAUUGUUACAUCUAAAGAAAGGAAAAACACACUCACACUCUAAUCUUCUAGGUGACUCGAACUCCAAUCAAAACUCCAAUCUAUUGAUUGAAAGAGAAGCGUCUUACCAACGUACUGCGCUUCAUCGUCAAAAUAUGAAAAUCAAAAUGAAAUGCUUUUUUUUUUUUUUUUGAUCGGGCAAAGUCAUGUUAGAUGUUAGUAAUUAGUUCCCCAUCCACUCCAAGAACCACCUUAUCUCUCCAUUCACCAAAAUCCACCUUAUAUCUCCAAUCUCCAAAUUCGC